GGAAAGUGACCAGCCGCCACCCGCCAGCCGAGUGCCUUUCCAUAUUAAUUAAUUACUCGCUGUUUAGGACCAAUCACACUCUAACCCCGAAUUUGAGUUCUCAAUCGCAUGCGUCAGCUCGUCGAGCGUCGUAGCCUCGUCGGGGAGGAUGAAGGGAGCGGACCAGAGGUGGGUGAAGCCCGGACCGGGAGAAUAGGAGCGAGAGCGAAGCAGGCGCAACGCAACUGGCGACCAGCGGGCGAAGCAAUUAACGGGAAUAUUUUAAUGCGGCUUCGGGUACACGCGGGCAGGUCAAUCCUCGCACUCCACCUCCUGCCUGCCCCCGCACCCGUAGCCAUGUUGGAUCCACCGCCCCACCACGGGUAGCUGAAGGGGCGGCGGCGGCGGCGCGGCAGAGGGAUGAAGAACUUCCUCAGGAAGCUGCACAUCGGUGACUCCGCCGCCGGGGAUGGCGCCUCGUCGCCUUCGGCACCUACCCCGCCGCCAACGAAAAAGGGCGGGGGCAUCGAGCAUAGGCACGCCUCCGGGUUGUCGGGCUGGCUGAGCUCCGUGACCAGCCGGCCGCACCCACCUACGCCGCUUUCUGCUUCUGCUGCACCGGCAGCGGCGGCGCCGGAGGUGGAGGAGUCGGCGUUGACGACUGCGUUGGCUUCGUCUGUUGAGGAGAAGAGGGUAGCCGAGGAGGACGAGGAGAGGGCGAGGCGGGAGUCCCGGAAGGAGGCGGAGAUGGAGAAGAAAGAGAAACAGCAGGCGGAGCUGGAGAACUAUCACAUGCAGCUGGCCCUCGAGAUGAGCGUGAGGGAGGACCCGGAGGCGAUGCAGAUCGAGGUGGCCAAACAGAUCAGCCUCGGCUCCUGCCCCAUCCAGAGCUCGCCCGCAGAGGUCAUCGCCUUCCGAUACUGGAGUUUCAAUGCCCUUAGCUAUGACGACAAAAUAUUGGAUGGUUUCUAUGACAUUUGUGCCACUGGGGAUGAGCUUGCAAUGUCAACCAUACCUUCUCUGAUGGAUCUGCAAGCACUGCCAUUUUCACAUGGAGGCAAAACUGAUGCUGUAUUGGUCGACAGAGCACUGGAUUCUGAGCUCGUAGCUCUUGAGCAGAAGGCUGUUAUCAUGGCUGUAGAAUUUCGCUCGAAAAAAUCAGAAUUUGUUGACCGCUCUUUGGUUCAGACUCUAGCUAAUUUAGUUUCCAACUACAUGGGUGGACCAGUCAUUGAUCCAGAAAGCAUGCUGUUGAAGUACCGAAAUAUGAGCAGUGCGUUGAAAGCUGAUAUAAGAAGUGCAGUUGUACCUCUUGGGCAGCUAACAGUUGGUUUGGCUCGUCACCGUGCACUGCUUUUUAAGGUUUUGGCAGAUAGCCUUGCUGUUCCUUGCCGAUUAGUUAAAGGAAGGCAGUACACUGGAUCAGAUGAUGGAGCUUUGAACAUUGUGAAAUUUAAUGAUGGAAGGGAGUGCAUUGUUGAUCUCAUGAUAGAUCCUGGUACUCUUAUUUCAUCAGAUGGUGCUGACCUGGGUAGAGAAUUGGAAGACAGCUUAGUCGUAGAUAAUCAACAUGUUAACAAAGAUGACACUAGCACUCAGUUACUUUCCUCUUUCAGUGAAGCUUCAAGUUCCAUGCACAGUUCAUUUGAAAAUGGAUCGCUUGAAAAAGGAUUUAUUUGCAAUGCUGGGCAUUUUGGUCCAUAUGAAGCAACAACUGCCCAUAGUGACAAUGAUGUGCUUGGGUCUGGGGUAUCAAGUUCAUUUGAUGAGCUAUCGGUCAGCACAUAUGCAUGUGAAAACAUACCUAUUAUUCAUGAAUCUAAUACAGAUCAUACCAUGACUGAAAAAAGCAAAGAUAAGUCGAUCACAUCAAAUAAUUCGUCAUCAUGUUCGCCUCCAUCUUCUGAGAUAGGCAGUACUCCUGCUGUACGAAGGAAAAAGGUCAAAGACGUCUCGGAGUAUAUGAUUAGUGCUGCAAAAGAGAACCCUCAGAUAGCAGAAAGGAUCCAUGCUGUGUUACUUGAAAGUGGUGUUGUGCCACCACCUGACUUGUUUUCAGAAGAAUCUAAGGAACAACCAAAGGACCUGAUUGUUUACGACACAUCUCUGUUUCAAACAACAGAUGAAAUGAUAAGGACAAUGAAUGAGCUUGAAUCCACAGCACACGAUGGUUGUGCUGGUCUUGGUCCUUCAUUGCCACCUGAUCCUGGACAUGAGCUCCAAACAAAGAUUGUUCCUUAUCGGAUGCCUCCUGACCUCAAGCCUGUCCAGGGAUUAGGUGUUUACCAUAAGUUUGAUUUCCGGGAUAACAUCAAUCCCUCUAUACCUCUCUAUGAACCAAGUCCAGCUCCUCAGGAAAAUCCAUUACAACUUAUAAAGCAAAUGCCUGUUACAGCUGCUGCUGUUGCAACAGCUGCAGUGGUUGCAUCUUCAAUGGUUGUUGCUGCUGCGAAAUCUAACAGCGAUAUUAAACUAGAUGUGCCAGUUGCAGCAGCUGCCACUGCUGCUGCAGUUGUUGCUACUACAGCUGCUGUUAACCAACAAUAUGAAUACUUGGAUCCGGGUUGUCAAUUGCUUUGCUUGCCAAGUUCAUCAAAUAAAUUAAUCCAAAAAGGUAGACAUGACUUGUUGGAUGAUGAUCAGCUGGAAACAAAUCAUGGACAGGAUAAUGCCCUUGAGCGUGAAAAGGAUUUGGUUCAAGCACCCCAGGAAGCUGAGCGAAUCUCUGAUAGGUCAACUGGGACAGAGAGUGCAAGAUCUGAAAUUUCUCUUGAUAAAAUCGCAGAGUUUGAAAUCCAGUGGGAAGAACUUACCCUUGGAGAACGAGUUGGGCUGGGAUCUUUCGGAGAAGUGUAUAGAGGUGAAUGGCAUGAAACAGAAGUCGCAGUCAAGAAAUUCUUGCAACAAGAUAUUUCAAGUGAUGCUCUGGAAGAAUUUAGAACUGAGGUGGGAAUAAUGAGAAGACUGCGUCAUCCUAAUGUUGUUCUUUUUAUGGGUGCUGUCACUCGUGUUCCUCAUCUUUCUAUCGUGACUGAAUUUCUGCCAAGGCGGAGUGGAUGGCACCAGAAAUACUUCGAAAUGAACCAUCAGAUGAGAAAUGUGACGUCUUCAGCUAUGGGGUCAUAUUAUGGGAGCUCUGUACAUUGCUGCAGCCAUGGGAAGGUAUGAAUCCCAUGCAGGUUGUUGGAGCUGUUGGUUUUCAGCAACGACGGCUUGAUAUUCCUGGUGGUGUGGAUCCUGCUGUAGCAGAGAUAAUAAGGAGAUGCUGGCAGACUGAUCCAAGGAUGCGGCCAUCAUUUUCAGAGAUCAUGGCUACUUUGAGACCAUUGUUAAAAAACAUGCCUGCCAACCAACCUACCAGGAAGCGGGCACAACAAACAGAUGAUUAAGAAUAUAUUGGUCAGUAUCAGCUGAAGACACAGGCCAAAGAGAGACUGCAUUGGUUUGUCUUGCUCUUGCCUUCCCAGCUUCAAGCAAUUGGCCAUCUGUAACUAUUACCAUUGUUUUGUACAGUACGCCAAAUGCGUAUUUGAUGAAGAACAGGUGAAUUUUGGUCCUUUUGCCUUCAGCGUUUGGUUCUCCAUUGGAGCCAGCGGAAUGCUGUCUAUAUCUAUCUGAUGAAAGCCGACCCAAAUAACACAGAUCCAUGAAGCCAAAGAAAAGAAAGGGAAAAGAAAAUUUGUGAAAGUUCGUGCAUACUAUUUUUGCAGACACAAUGGUUACUGGAGUCAGAAGUUGACAUGUCAUGUUGUAACAGGAUCAUCGUCUUCUGUUCAGUUAGGCCUUAUUUUUGCUAGUCCUCGAACUAAUGGAAAACUAUUCCAUCUUUAAGGCCCCAUCAAAUUGUAAUGUUUUACUAUGAAAAGGUUGGCUCACCCUUGUGUAUAUCACGUCUCAACAAAUCUGCUUUUAAUUGACAGGUAGAUUACAAAAGAAAAUUAUGCCCUUUGUACUAAGAAUGAUCAUUCUUUGCGGUAGGAAAAAUGUUAAACCUACUUUUGCAAACAUAAGGUUGAUAUAUGUUAUCGUGAUUCCAAUU
Molecule: RNA transcript, 4018 nt
Organism: Zea mays
Lineage: Eukaryota; Viridiplantae; Streptophyta; Magnoliopsida; Poales; Poaceae
Gene name: probable serine/threonine-protein kinase SIS8
Exons: 10
Source: RefSeq, a predicted model, not a curated record